GCUUUAGGUUCUGAAAGCGUCCUUAUAGAACCACAAGUAGUAGGUGUUAUUGCAUUAAGUUGUGACGUCAAUCAAAAUUGUCACGUUUAUUUGUUAGAAGAUGGCUUGCGAUUACGGUUAGCUUUACUGCAAAAUGCAGCUGCACCAACAUUGGCUAUAACGGAACUGACUAAAAAUUUGCCUGCUGUAUUAGAAAGAGACGAAAGCAGGAGGGGGGCAGCGUUCUGAAAUGCCGACUUGCGGGCGUGUGUGACAUUUUGAUGUAGAGUGUCUUUGAU
This 278-nucleotide unclassified non-coding RNA is filed under the name Bombus terrestris (buff-tailed bumblebee). RNAcentral's name for it is "misc RNA ENSBTSG00005035654.1". Lineage: Eukaryota; Metazoa; Arthropoda; Insecta; Hymenoptera; Apidae. The record is from RNAcentral.